Armigeres subalbatus is the source of this 409-nucleotide long non-coding RNA. RefSeq lists it as uncharacterized. NCBI's taxonomy places the organism in Eukaryota, Metazoa, Arthropoda, Insecta, Diptera, Culicidae. The transcript is spliced from 3 exons. The record is from RefSeq and is a predicted model, not a curated record.
CGAUCGGUAAGGAGUAAGCAGUACUGAAGUAUAUUGCAGUAUACAGUGCAGUGAGAAUAACACCGACGUUUAGUGCAUAUGGUGUCCUGCCUGUGAGUGUGCGCUAAUCGGAUUAGUGAUGGAAGAAGUAACACUGCCGGGAAGCAUGAAUCGGCAGAAGUGAACAUAAAUCUUUGAGAUCGGCCUUUUCUUUAAACCAGCAACAUUCGAGGUGGUGCUUCCUUCUUGCGGGCUGGUGAUGUCAAGGUGAGUGGACGAUAAGGGCGUGCUAAGCAGCGGGGUGGCCAGCAUGGUGCUGGUAGACUAUGACCCAAUCUGUCCGGACAGCAUGUGUCGUUCUGCGGACGCCGAGGGAUACACACCCACACGAUCAUCACUCCCAUAGAACAGUAGGUUAAGUAGGGUAGAA